Molecule: unclassified non-coding RNA, 243 nt
Filed under: Hevea brasiliensis (rubber tree)
Lineage: Eukaryota; Viridiplantae; Streptophyta; Magnoliopsida; Malpighiales; Euphorbiaceae
Source: RNAcentral
AGACAAUCCAGGAAAUGAAAAUACAUAUAUCUCCAUCGUCUAUUAAGUAUUAACCACAAGAGUACCCAAUACACUCCAGAAGCCCACAAUGAAUCCAAGUGUCAUGCUCACAUAGAAACAAAUUUCAAGACCAUCAUCUCCUUUUCCUUUUUCCUUCCUCAUUUGUAGUGCCGAGUAUAACUCCACGUGUUGCAAUUCUCAGUGAGUGGAGGACCAUAGAGUCCUUUGUUGCCAACAAAGCUA